This is a long non-coding RNA of Oxyura jamaicensis (ruddy duck), 1249 nucleotides long. RefSeq lists it as uncharacterized. The transcript is spliced from 2 exons. Lineage: Eukaryota; Metazoa; Chordata; Aves; Anseriformes; Anatidae. The record is from RefSeq and is a predicted model, not a curated record.
ACACCAAUUAAAUUAAGCUGUGAUCAUCAAAAUAUACAAAGUAAGCUGAUGGUUAAAAAUAAGGUUAAAGAGACAGAAGAAAAUAAGCUCAGGAUCUGGGACCAAACAAAGUUCUUCGUAUGUUGUUGGAGAUUUCACCAAGACAGUGAGUGAAGGUCCAAGAGACUAUCAAACAGACCUUCGGCAACAAGGCUAACCUUAAAGAAGAGGGACAAAGGACUUAAAGCCUUCAAAAAGACACAUAAAUAAACUAAAAUAAGCUGAAGAAGUACAUACAAGACAUAUAUAGAAACAACACAUGCAUUAUUUCUAUGUAUUUCAUAUUUCCACUAAGGACCAAGAAAAAGUGUCAGUGUAUACCAACACAGAACUUCCUUCCCCAUUAUCUAAAUUGCUAUCUUCUAAAGCAAAAGGUUUACUUCAGUUAAUCUGACCCAUAGCUUAACUUUGGGAAAAAUAAUUUAGAAUGUACCUGGCUAAGGAGAGAGGUUCACAUCUGGUACUGUGAAGACACUGAGUCUGAAAUGCAAGUCAAUACUUUUUUUCUUGCUUUUCUCUUGUGGUUGUUGUUGUUGUUGUUGUUUUUUGUUUUUUUUUGUUUGUUUCAUACAGCAGUGGGCAAACAACUCUGUUUCUCAGUCAGUUUCCCUAGUUCUAUCAGUGGCAUGAAGACUACACCUUUCAUUCAUUUAAAAUAUACACAUAUAAAUAUAUUUAAAGAGGAAAGGUUAUUUUAUUUUAAAUACUUGACUAUUAUCACUUACACUUUUACAUUUAUAUGGAUGCUAUUUCUUUGUGUUUCUUUGUGUUUUCUUUGAGUUUCAAAAAAGAAUACAUAGAAAUAAUGCAUCUCAAGUUCAUCUUAAUGUAUACAUCAUAUUUUUAUUUGCAUUUGAAUUUAUUGUCCAUGUAAAAACUGCAAGUGUCACAUAGGAAAUAGCAUGAAUAUAUUAAGCACCAGAAGUAUUCAGUCAUCAAGUCAGACACAUGAGUAUAUACAGGUUCUGUUUCACAGAGGUUCUGUGAUCUUGCUCUAUUUACUCUGCAAUGUGUUUCUCUCAUGCAUUAUAUCCAUAUAAUUGAAAAUUGUAUUUUUGAGAGUUCUAUUUUAUAGCUAAAUCUAACAAUAUUUCUUCUCCAAUUAAUACAUUGCAUGCUCCUUCCAAACCUGCUUCAGCAACUGUGUAGUGUCUUAGUUUGUCAUGGAAUUUACGUACUACCAUAGAAAAAGAAACAAUUAUUUCUAUAA